RNAcentral lists this ribosomal RNA (292 nucleotides) under uncultured beta proteobacterium. Its description in RNAcentral is "partial 16S ribosomal RNA". It matches the Rfam family "Bacterial small subunit ribosomal RNA", at positions 1 to 295 of the family's 1533-position model. Lineage: Bacteria; Pseudomonadati; Pseudomonadota; Betaproteobacteria. The record is from RNAcentral.
CUCGGAGUUUGAUCCUGGCUCAGAUUGAACGCUGGCGGAAUGCUUUACACAUGCAAAGUCGAACGGUAGAGGGGGCAACCCCUCGAGAGUGGCGAACGGGUGAGUAAUAUAUCGGAACGUGCCCAGUCGUGGGGGAUAACGGUAAGCGAAACGUUACGCUAAUACCGCAUACGAUCUAAGGAUGAAAGCGGGGGAUCGCAACGACCGUCGCGCGGAUUGGGAGUCGGCCGAUAUCAGAUUAGGUAGUUGGUGGGUAAAGGCUCACCAAGCCAACGAUCUGUAGCUGGUCUGA